ACACAUGCAAGUCGAACGGCAGCACAGAAGAGCUUGCUCUUUGGGUGGCGAGUGGCGGACGGGUGAGUAAUGUCUGGGAAACUGCCCGAUGGAGGGGGAUAACUACUGGAAACGGUAGCUAAUACCGCAUAACGUCGCAAGACCAAAGUGGGGGACCUUCGGGCCUCACACCAUCGGAUGUGCCCAGAUGGGAUUAGCUAGUAGGUGGGGUAAUGGCUCACCUAGGCGACGAUCCCUAGCUGGUCUGAGAGGAUGACCAGCCACACUGGAACUGAGACACGGUCCAGACUCCUACGGGAGGCAGCAGUGGGGAAUAUUGCACAAUGGGCGCAAGCCUGAUGCAGCCAUGCCGCGUGUAUGAAGAAGGCCUUCGGGUUGUAAAGUACUUUCAGCGGGGAGGAAGGCGGUGAGGUUAAUAACCUUGCCGAUUGACGUUACCCGCAGAAGAAGCACCGGCUAACUCCGUGCCAGCAGCCGCGGUAAUACGGAGGGUGCAAGCGUUAAUCGGAAUUACUGGGCGUAAAGCGCACGCAGGCGGUCUGUUAAGUCAGAUGUGAAAUCCCCGGGCUUAACCUGGGAACUGCAUUUGAAACUGGCAGGCUUGAGUCUCGUAGAGGGGGGUAGAAUUCCAGGUGUAGCGGUGAAAUGCGUAGAGAUCUGGAGGAAUACCGGUGGCGAAGGCGGCCCCCUGGACGAAGACUGACGCUCAGGUGCGAAAGCGUGGGGAGCAAACAGGAUUAGA
Molecule: ribosomal RNA, 742 nt
Filed under: Pantoea agglomerans
Lineage: Bacteria; Pseudomonadati; Pseudomonadota; Gammaproteobacteria; Enterobacterales; Erwiniaceae
Description: bacterial SSU rRNA
Rfam family: Bacterial small subunit ribosomal RNA
Source: RNAcentral